CAUAUUCAGCGACCUCUCGAAUCUGAGCUAUGGCUUCUCCCAUGACAUGAUCCCUUUCUCUAAUCUGCCCACUAGACUAAUGAAGCUCUCCCUUUAGAUAAUCUCCUUGCGUUUCGAGUUGCUCGAUCUGAAGUUUACCUUCCUGCAAUGCUGCUUCCAAAUCUUCAACUUUACUCUUUAGCUCUUUUAACUCGACCGUAGAAUCAUGGUUGCGAUGCCAACGAAGGGAUCUUCCAAGCUCAGUUAUUUUAAACUUCAACCCUUUAUUCUCUUCUUCUAAUGCCAAAUUCCGCGGUUGCAUCUCCUAAAACUUCUUCUCCCAAUACUCAGCUCUAGCCUUUCCUUCUUAGAUCUCUUUCUGCAACUGAUCUGAAGACCUUCCUAUUUUCGCUCUUCUCAAAGAUACCUGUGCCUUUUUGUAGUGUUCCUUCAAAUCAUCUCUAUCCUCUUCAAUUUUCCUCUUUUCCUUUCUUUCUUUCUCGACCUCCAUCUUCUGGACAUCGAUAUCUAAACUUAAGUACAUCUUUUCUUCUUCGAGCUUUGCUAUCCUUUUCUCAAGCUCCAAAUUUUUCCUCUCAAAUUCUUGCUUCAUAAUUUCUAACUCCGAGGGCAUCACUUGCAGAUAUUCCUCCAUCGGUCGAGUUCCUUCCAUACUUGGCUCAGGAAUAUUAUCAUUGAUCCUUCUACCUCUCCAUUCAACAUAUUCUGGAGUCGUAGCAGGGCCAAUAGCUACUCCUUUCAACCGACACGUCUUGUUCCAACUGCUAGAGAUCUCACCGACCCUUUUUUUUGUAAUCGGCUCCUCUAUAUGCGAACUCACUUUGAGUUAGCCCAUGAGUUGCUGGCACGAACUGCCUCAAACCGAAUUGCCUUAACACGAGCAAGGGGGCAUAACCAAUGGCACCCCAAAUUCCCAAUA
Molecule: long non-coding RNA, 919 nt
Filed under: Gossypium barbadense (sea-island cotton)
Lineage: Eukaryota; Viridiplantae; Streptophyta; Magnoliopsida; Malvales; Malvaceae
Description: long non-coding RNA (GBAR_LNC007944)
Source: RNAcentral